Molecule: long non-coding RNA, 382 nt
Filed under: Malus domestica (apple)
Lineage: Eukaryota; Viridiplantae; Streptophyta; Magnoliopsida; Rosales; Rosaceae
Description: long non-coding RNA (MDOM_LNC019636)
Source: RNAcentral
AUGUUGGCGUCAUUGUACUUAGUUAAGUCAUUCCCACCAUGCCUAGUUCGUGUAGGUGUUCAAGCAUAGCCUCAAAAUUAUAUCAUGUUGGCUAAACUCGUUGCCUACCUCACUUCAUCAUGUAUGUAUAUAGAACUCCUCCUGAGUGUAAGCACGCACUUUGUACUCCCCCAUUAUAGGGUGAAGCCGGUGUACGAGUCACAAACAAUCGGAGCCUACCACGGUGGAAGGCCACGAAAGAGUGUUCUAAGCACUCUCCGCUUAUCAACUUAAUAUUGGUUUGGUUGAGGGUUUUUAGGUCUCAUCACAAAUCAAUAUACAUUUUAAUCUCUAUUAAAACAAUUUUGGUCCUAUUACAACUAUUGGUCCAUAUGAUUGUUUU